This is a non-coding RNA of Pangasius djambal, 71 nucleotides long. NCBI's taxonomy places the organism in Eukaryota, Metazoa, Chordata, Actinopteri, Siluriformes, Pangasiidae. The record is from the annotation of a GenBank genome assembly.
GGCAUGAUGGCUUAGUGGUUAGCAUUUGCCUUGCGCCUCCAGGGCUGGGGGUUCGAGUCCCAUCUCUGCCC